UACAGAGGUCUCAAGCGUUGUUCGGAUUCAUUGGGCGUAAAGGGUGCGUAGGCGGCGCGGUAAGUCGGGUGUGAAAUCUCGGAGCUUAACUCCGAAACUGCAUUCGAUACUGCCGUGCUUGAGGACUGGAGAGGAGGCUGGAAUUUACGGUGUAGCGGUGAAAUGCGUAGAUAUCGUAAGGAAGACCAGUGGCGAAGGCGGGUCUCUGGACAGUUCCUGACGCUGAGGCACGAAGGUCAGGGGGGCAAACGGG
RNAcentral lists this ribosomal RNA (253 nucleotides) under uncultured bacterium. RNAcentral describes it as "partial 16S ribosomal RNA". It matches the Rfam family "Bacterial small subunit ribosomal RNA", at positions 524 to 776 of the family's 1533-position model. The record is from RNAcentral.